This 834-nucleotide ribosomal RNA is filed under the name Muscodor fengyangensis. RNAcentral describes it as "Induratia fengyangensis partial 28S large subunit ribosomal RNA". It matches the Rfam family "Eukaryotic large subunit ribosomal RNA", at positions 77 to 938 of the family's 3401-position model. Lineage: Eukaryota; Fungi; Ascomycota; Sordariomycetes; Xylariales. The record is from RNAcentral.
GCCCUAGUAACGGCGAGUGAAGCGGCAACAGCUCAAAUUUGAAAUCUGGCUCUCGGGCCCGAGUUGUAAUUUGUAGAGGAUGAUUUUGGCGCGGUGCCUUCCGAGUUCCCUGGAACGGGACGCCUUAGAGGGUGAGAGCCCCGUACGGUUGGACACCAAGCCUCUGUAAAUCUCCUUCGACGAGUCGAGUAGUUUGGGAAUGCUGCUCUAAAUGGGAGGUAAAUUUCUUCUAAAGCUAAAUACCGGCCAGAGACCGAUAGCGCACAAGUAGAGUGAUCGAAAGAUGAAAAGCACUUUGAAAAGAGGGUUAAAUAGCACGUGAAAUUGUUGAAAGGGAAGCAUUUACUACCAGACCUCUGCCCUGCGGAUCAUGUGGUGUUCUCACCGCUGCACUUCGCUUGGUUUAGGCCAGCAUCGGUUUUCGUAGGGGGAUAAAAGCUUUAGGAACGUAGCUCCCUCGGGAGUGUUAUAGCCUUUUGCAUAAUACCCUUACGGGGACCGAGGACCGCGCUUCGGCAAGGAUGCUGGCAUAAUGGUAGUCAAUGACCCGUCUUGAAACACGGACCAAGGAGUCGAACAUUUGUGCGAGUGUUUGGGUGUUAAACCCUCACGCGUAAUGAAAGUGAACGUAGGUGAGAGCCCUUACGGGUGCAUCAUCGACCGAUCUUGAUGUCUUCGGAUGGAUUUGAGUAAGAGCAUAACUGUUCGGACCCGAAAGAUGGUGAACUAUGCGUGGAUAGGGUGAAGCCAGAGGAAACUCUGGUGGAGGCUCGCAGCGGUUCUGACGUGCAAAUCGAUCGUCAAAUCUGCGCAUGGGGGCGAAAGACUUAUCGA